GGGGGGGGGGGGGGGGGGGGCUGGGGGAGGGGGGGCGGGCGGAGGGGCGGGAAGCUCGCUUCUCUGGUGUGAGGGGCGGACGGGUGAGUCGCAGGUGGCUAACCUGCCGAGAGGACGGGGGUAACUUCGGGCACCCGGAGCUCAACCCGGGUCAUCUUUUGAAACGCAUGGUUCACAAGUGCACGACGGUCUUUCUGUCACUUCACGAUGGCUCGCGGUUGCAUUAGUUACUUGGUACGGUAACGCCUUACCAAGGCCACGAUGCAUAACCGACCUGCGAGGGUGAUCGGUCACACUGGAACUGAGACACGGUCCAGACUCCUACGGGAGGCAGCAGUAGGGAAUCUUCCGCAAUGGGCGAAAGCCUGACGGAGCAACGCCGCGUGAGUGAUGAAGGUCUUCGGAUCGUAAAACUCUUUUAUUAGGGAAGAACAUAUGUGUAAGUAACUGUGCACAUCUUGACGGUACCUAAUCAGAAAGCCACGGCUAACUACGUG
Molecule: ribosomal RNA, 497 nt
Filed under: uncultured bacterium
Lineage: Bacteria
Description: partial 16S ribosomal RNA
Rfam family: Bacterial small subunit ribosomal RNA
Source: RNAcentral